GACGAACGCUGGCGGCGUGCUUAACACAUGCAAGUCGAACGGAAAGGUCCUGCUUUUGUGGGGUGCUCGAGUGGCGAACGGGUGAGUAACACGUGAGUAACCUGCCCUUGACUUUGGGAUAACUUCAGGAAACUGGGGCUAAUACCGGAUAGGAGCUCCUGCUGCAUGGUGGGGGUUGGAAAGAUUCGGCGGUUGGGGAUGUACUCGCGGCUUAUCAGCUUGUUGGUGGGGUAGUGGCUUACCAAGGCUUUGACGGGUAGCCGACCUGAGAGGGUGACCGGCCACAUUAGGACUGCGAUACGGCCCAGACUCCUACGGGAGGCAGCGGUGGGGAAUAUUACACAGUGGGCGGAAGCCUGAUGCAGCGACGCCGCGUGCGGGAUGACGGCCUUCGGGUUGUAAACCGAUUUCGCCUGUGCCGAAGCGUGAGUGACGGUACUGGGUAAAGAAGCACCGGCUAACUACGUG
Molecule: ribosomal RNA, 468 nt
Filed under: uncultured bacterium
Lineage: Bacteria
Description: partial 16S ribosomal RNA
Rfam family: Bacterial small subunit ribosomal RNA
Source: RNAcentral